AUGCAAAUGAUAGCACAGGAGUUCACAAUUUCAUUGUCAGCAAUGUCUGUAAACGUGGUAUCUUCUAGAAAUUUUCUGGGAAAGUCUGCCUAUGCCCCUAAGAGGAGCCCAGAAGACCAGGAAAUGGCAGCUGAGCUCCUAUCAUCCAGGCCUCAGAUCUCUCUAGGUAAGGCUUCUCAUGCCAACCUCAGGCUCCACCUUCAAGAGAGCCUCCUUUCAAGAAAUGUUUCCAGAGAAUUCUCCUCCUGACUCCUCCUGAGUUCUCCUUCCACUGCCUCCUUCAAGACCUCUCCAGGAGCUUUUCCUCCAGGACCUCUCUCCUCUCAGCCUCCUUCAGAGCAUCCACCUCCUCAGAGCCAAAACCUCCUCAGAGACCUCAGACCCCGCUAUCUUUAAGGACACCAUCUAAGUCCCCUCCCCUCAGUUCUCACAUCUACCAAUCAUUGUCCAUGUCUCCCCUGUGCCAAUGGUAGCUGUAGCUUAACCCAAUACCGCCCAGAGGUCUGCCCCCCUUUGCACAUGUCUGUUGAAGGUCAUAUUCUCAAAUAAUCAAAUCUUGAUCUAUGCUGCAGCCCUUCCUAAAUCCUGUUACUCUGAGAAGGGUGGAGAUUGUAAGUUCCAAGACCUGGUUCUGUCAUUCCAAGUAUCUCUAUUGUAUCAAUUCUAAAAUCAAUCAUGACUCAAAGAACUUCCUGUUCUAUGCUUAAGUAUAGGUCAAAGCCCUUUCCAUUGUUUAGCAAAAGGUUUCUGUCCUAAAGUAGUCUUAAGUAGGGAGGAGAAGGAUCCUCCCAUGCCAAAGAGUUUCACAUUCCAAUAGAAUUCUUACUAUCAGUAGGAAAUUUUUUCAAGUAUGAAAUUUCCUAAUGGGGAAAUUUCCAACAUUCAUAAGUCUAAGAAAUUUUAAGGUUUACAGGGGGGUACUAUUAUACUCCUAUAUCUCCCAAGUAUGUCCAGCUUGUCUCUCAGUUCCUUUAUGAGAAAGUGAGUUUCAUUCAUGGUCAACCCUCAUGCUCAACAUACAUGCAUAUCUACAUGCUUGUAUUACUUAGGUUUACAGAUUCCAGCUUUCAAACAUGAAUAAAAAGCACACAUUUUUUUUAAAACCCUGACCU
This 1112-nucleotide long non-coding RNA is filed under the name Monodelphis domestica (gray short-tailed opossum). RNAcentral's name for it is "lncRNA (ENSMODG00000048258.1)". The record is from RNAcentral. Lineage: Eukaryota; Metazoa; Chordata; Mammalia; Didelphimorphia; Didelphidae.